UUUAUAAUGUAUAACACACUGUAUAAUAUAUUUAUAUAAUACAAUAUAUUCUGGUGUAUGUGUUUUUUUUUUCAUCUUCAGAAUCCAUUAGCACUCGCUAUAUAGUGCAAAAUAUUAUUGGAGAAGGAGGCUAUGGCAAAGUGUAUGAGGGAAUCCGUAUUUCCGAUGGCAAAAAGGUUGCCAUCAAACGUAUUAAAAAAACUGUACGGGAUCAUUAUCUUCAAACUACUGUACAUCCCAAACCUC
Molecule: long non-coding RNA, 246 nt
Organism: Carassius auratus (goldfish)
Lineage: Eukaryota; Metazoa; Chordata; Actinopteri; Cypriniformes; Cyprinidae
Source: Ensembl